AACAUGACUCUCAGCAACAGAUAUCUCGACUCUCACCAUGAUGAAGAAUGUAGUGAAAUGCGAUACUUGGUGUGAAUUGUAGAAUCCCAUGAAUCAUUGAGUCUUUGAACAUAAGUUGCACCCGAGGGUUCAGCCGAGGGCACAUCUGCCUGGGUGAUGCAC
This 162-nucleotide ribosomal RNA is filed under the name Podocarpus macrophyllus. Its description in RNAcentral is "5.8S ribosomal RNA". It matches the Rfam family "5.8S ribosomal RNA". From Rfam's summary of the family: 5.8S ribosomal RNA (5.8S rRNA) is a component of the large subunit of the eukaryotic ribosome. It is transcribed by RNA polymerase I as part of the 45S precursor that also contains 18S and 28S rRNA. The record is from RNAcentral. Lineage: Eukaryota; Viridiplantae; Streptophyta; Pinopsida; Araucariales; Podocarpaceae.